This 485-nucleotide ribosomal RNA is filed under the name uncultured bacterium. Its description in RNAcentral is "partial 16S ribosomal RNA". It matches the Rfam family "Bacterial small subunit ribosomal RNA", at positions 30 to 507 of the family's 1533-position model. The record is from RNAcentral.
AUUGAACGCUGGCGGCAUGCCUUACACAUGCAAGUCGAACGGCAGCACGGGUGCUUGCACCUGGUGGCGAGUGGCGAACGGGUGAGUAAUACAUCGGAACAUGUCCUGUAGUGGGGGAUAGCCCGGCGAAAGCCGGAUUAAUACCGCAUACGAUCUACGGAUGAAAGCGGGGGACCUUCGGGCUCGCGCUCUAGGGGUGGCCGAUGGCUGAUUAGCUUGUUGGUGGGGUAAAGGGCUACCAAGGCGACGAUCAGUAGCUGGUCUGAGAGGACGACCCGCCACACUGGGACUGAGACACGGCCCAGACUCCUACGGGAGGCAGCAGUGGGGAAUUUUGGACAAUGGGCGAAAGCCUGAUCCAGCAAUGCCGCGUGUGUGAAGAAGGCCUUCGGGUUGUAAAGCACUUUUGUCCGGAAAGAAAUCCUUGGCCCUAAUACGGUCGGGGGAUGACGGUACCGGAAGAAUAAGCACCGGCUAACUACGUG